UCUAGUUAGAAACCAACUAUGCCUCCCACAUCGUCCAGUUGAGAAACAGAUGAAUAUAUUAUAAGCAAAGACAAGGUAUCAGGUUACUGUCUCUUCGGAGACAUCCGAUAAAAUUGGAACGAUACAGAGAAGAUUAGCAUGGCCCCUGCGCAAGGAUGACACGCACAAAUCGAGAAAUGGUCCAAAUUUUUUUUCUCUUCUGGGUUUGAUUAUUUUGUACCAAAUUUGAGCUGUUCUCAAACUGGUUUGAUUUUGAACUGGGCUUGAUUAUUUUGUACCAAAUUUGAGCUGGUUUUUCUCACAAUGGUUUGGUUUUGAACUGGGUUUGGUUUAAUUAUUUGGUUUGAACGUUUGUAUUUGUGAGUCUGGUAUUUGAUAGUUGCGUGCUAAUUUUAAUGUGUUUUAAACCUGUCAUUGCUGAUUUUAUGAGCUGGGUUUCUCACACUCGUUCGAACUUGAACUGGGUUUUAUUAUUUUGUAUGAAUUUUGAGAUGGGUUUUUCACAAUGAAUAUAUUGUUCAAUUACUCUCAGACUCUUGCCACGCUCAGACUCACAAGGGACCAAAUCUUUGUCUCUUCAGAGACAUCCAAUAAAGUUGGAACUAUAAAAGAGAAGAUUAGCAUGGCCCCUGCACAAUGAUGACACACACUGAUUGAGAAAUUGUCCUAAUUUUUUUUUCAUUCUUUGGGUUUGAUUAUUUUCUUUCAAUUUUCCAGCUGGGUUUUAUUUCUGUCUUCCUGGAUUUUAGUCUUUGUUCUCGGCAGCUCAGUUUUUUUUUUUUAAUUCUGGGAUUGAUGCAAUGUUCUGUGUUUCUAUUGAUGGAUUUUUUUGACAAUAUUUUGAUUGGAUAUGUGUUGAUCAGUCUUCUUCUUCCAUUCCAUCCAUUGACAUUCUUUGUUUGUGUUUCUGAAAUGGUCCAAAUUUUUUUCUCUCUUUGCCCUUUGGAUUUCUGAACCGUAUUUUUGCUUCUGGGUUUGGUAUGAAUUUGGUGAUUGCGUGACAAUUUAAUGUGUUGUAAACUGGGUUUUUUUGUC
Molecule: long non-coding RNA, 1035 nt
Organism: Mangifera indica (mango)
Lineage: Eukaryota; Viridiplantae; Streptophyta; Magnoliopsida; Sapindales; Anacardiaceae
Exons: 2
Source: RefSeq, a predicted model, not a curated record